This 490-nucleotide ribosomal RNA is filed under the name uncultured bacterium. Its description in RNAcentral is "partial 16S ribosomal RNA". It matches the Rfam family "Bacterial small subunit ribosomal RNA", at positions 30 to 507 of the family's 1533-position model. The record is from RNAcentral.
AUUGAACGCUGGCGGCAUGCCUUACACAUGCAAGUCGAACGGCAGCAUGAUCUUGCUUGCUAGAUUGAGGGCGAGUGGCGAACGUGUUAGCAAUACAUCGGAACGUUCCCUGUAGUUGGGGUUAACUAGUCGUAACUUUAACCACUUCCGGACACGACCUGAGGGUGGAAGUGGGUGGCACCAAGCCCUCUUGGUUUAGCCGCGGUCGAUGUCUGAUUAGCGUGUUGGUGAGGUAAAGGCUCACCAAGGCGACGAUCAGUAGCUGGUCUGAGAGGACGAUCAGCCACACUGGGACUGAGACACGGCCCAGACUCCUACGGGAGGCAGCAGUGGGGAAUUUUGGACAAUGGGCGAAAGCCUGAUCCAGCAAUGCCGCGUGUGUGAAGAAGGCCUUCGGGUUGUAAAGCACUUUUGUCCGGAAGGAAAUGGCUCUGGUUAAUACCUGGGGGUGAUGACGGUACCGGAAGAAUAAGGACCGGCUAACUACGUG